This 253-nucleotide ribosomal RNA is filed under the name uncultured bacterium. RNAcentral's name for it is "partial 16S ribosomal RNA". It matches the Rfam family "Bacterial small subunit ribosomal RNA", at positions 524 to 776 of the family's 1533-position model. The record is from RNAcentral.
UACGUAGGGUGCAAGCGUGUCCGGAAUUAUUGGGCGUAAAGAGCUCGUAGGCGGUUUGUCGCGUCUGCUGUGAAAACCCGAGGCUCAACCUCGGGCCUGCAGUGGGUACGGGCAGACUAGAGUGCGGUAGGGGAGAUUGGAAUUCCUGGUGUAGCGGUGGAAUGCGCAGAUAUCAGGAGGAACACCAAUGGCGAAGGCAGAUCUCUGGGCCGUAACUGACGCUGAGGAGCGAAAGCAUGGGGGAGCGAACAGG